Molecule: transfer RNA, 82 nt
Filed under: Saprospiraceae bacterium
Lineage: Bacteria; Pseudomonadati; Bacteroidota; Saprospiria; Saprospirales; Saprospiraceae
Description: tRNA-Leu
Source: RNAcentral
GCCCGGGUGGUGAAAUUGGUAGACACGUACGUUUGAGGGGCGUAUGCCGAAAGGUGUGCAGAUUCGACUUCUGUUCCGGGCA